GACGAACGCUGGCGGCGUGCCUAAUACAUGCAAGUAGAACGCUGAAGCGAGGAGCUUGCUCUUCUUGGAUGAGUUGCGAACGGGUGAGUAACGCGUAGGUAACCUGCCUUUUAGCGUGGGAUAACUAUUGGAAACGAUAGCUAAUACCGCAUAACAAUGGAUGACACAUGUCAUUUAUUUGAAAGUGGCAAUUGCUCCACUACAUGAUGGACCUGCGUCGUAUUAGCUAGUAGGUGAGGUAAUGGCUCACCUAGGCGACGAUACAUAGCCGACCUGAGAGGGUGAUCGGCCAAACUGGGACGGAGACAAGGGACAGAAUGCUACGGGAGGCAGCAGGAGGGAAACAUAGGAAAAGGGGGGAAAACGGACCGAGGAAGGCCGGGGGAGGGAAGAAGGGUUUCGGAUCGUAAAGCUAUGUUGUAAGUCAAGAAAGGGAGUGAGAGUGGAAAGUUCACAAUGUGACGGUAGCUAACCAGAAAGGGACGGCUAACUACGUG
This 497-nucleotide ribosomal RNA is filed under the name uncultured bacterium. RNAcentral describes it as "partial 16S ribosomal RNA". It matches the Rfam family "Bacterial small subunit ribosomal RNA", at positions 28 to 507 of the family's 1533-position model. The record is from RNAcentral.